GGCAAGAUGGCCGAGCGGUUAAGGCGGUAGACUCAAGGGUGGUUAAAAUCCUUACCUGAACACCAGGCAACAUUCUACUGGGGCAACCCGCGUGGGUUCGAAUCCCACUCUUGUCA
Molecule: non-coding RNA, 116 nt
Organism: Xylaria nigripes
Lineage: Eukaryota; Fungi; Ascomycota; Sordariomycetes; Xylariales; Xylariaceae
Source: the annotation of a GenBank genome assembly